AGAGUUUGAUCAUGGCUCAGAUUGAACGCUGGCGGCAUGCCUAACACAUGCAAGUCGAACGGCAGCACAGCAGUAGCAAUACUGUGGGUGGCGAGUGGCGGACGGGUGAGGAAUACAUCGGGACCUGCCCAGACGUGGGGGAUAACGUAGGGAAACUUACGCUAAUACCGCAUACGUCCUACGGGAGAAAGCGGGGGAUCUUCGGACCUCGCGCGGUUGGAUGGACCGAUGUUCGAUUAGCUAGUUGGUGGGGUAAAGGCUCACCAAGGCGACGAUCGAUAGCUGGUCUGAGAGGAUGAUCAGCCACACUGGGACUGAGACACGGCCCAGACUCCUACGGGAGGCAGCAGUGGGGAAUAUUGGACAAUGGGCGCAAGCCUGAUCCAGCAAUGCCGCGUGUGUGAAGAAGGCCUUCGGGUUGUAAAGCACUUUUAUCAGGAGCGAAAUACCACGGGCUAAUACCCUAUGGGGCUGACGGUACCUGAGGAAUAAGCACCGGCUAACUUCGUGCCAGCAGCCGCGGUAAUACGAAGGGUGCAAGCGUUAAUCGGAAUUACUGGGCGUAAAGCGUGCGUAGGCGGUGAUUUAAGUCUGCUGUGAAAUCCCCGGGCUCAACCUGGGAAUGGCAGUGGAUACUGGAUCGCUAGAGUGUGAUAGAGGAUGGUGGAAUUCCCGGUGUAGCGGUGAAAUGCGUAGAGAUCGGGAGGAACAUCAGUGGCGAAGGCGGCCAUCUGGAUCAACACUGACGCUGAGGCACGAAAGCGUGGGGAGCAAACAGGAUUAGAUACCCCCGUAGUCC
This 799-nucleotide ribosomal RNA is filed under the name uncultured bacterium. RNAcentral's name for it is "bacterial SSU rRNA". It matches the Rfam family "Bacterial small subunit ribosomal RNA", at positions 8 to 796 of the family's 1533-position model. The record is from RNAcentral.